GGAGAGAUGGCUCAGUGGUUAAGAGCACUGACUGCUCUUCCAGAGGUCCUGAGUUCAAAUCUCAGCAACCACA
Molecule: transfer RNA, 73 nt
Filed under: Mus musculus (house mouse)
Lineage: Eukaryota; Metazoa; Chordata; Mammalia; Rodentia; Muridae
Description: tRNA-Ser
Rfam family: tRNA (bases 8-65)
About the family: Transfer RNA (tRNA) molecules are approximately 80 nucleotides in length. Their secondary structure includes four short double-helical elements and three loops (D, anti-codon, and T loops).
Source: RNAcentral